Molecule: transfer RNA, 76 nt
Filed under: Desulfitobacterium dehalogenans
Lineage: Bacteria; Bacillati; Bacillota; Clostridia; Eubacteriales; Desulfitobacteriaceae
Also listed under: 3 other names
Description: tRNA-Lys
Rfam family: tRNA
About the family: Transfer RNA (tRNA) molecules are approximately 80 nucleotides in length. Their secondary structure includes four short double-helical elements and three loops (D, anti-codon, and T loops).
Source: RNAcentral
GCGCCACUAGCUCAGCUGGUAGAGCAUCCGACUCUUAAUCGGCAGGUCCUGGGUUCGAAUCCCCGGUGGCGCACCA